UGGGCUAGUUCGGCACGAGCGCAACCCUUAUCCUUUGUUGCCAGCACGUAAUGGUGGGAACUCAAAGGAGACUGCCGGUGAUAAACCGGAGGAAGGUGGGGAUGACGUCAAGUCAUCAUGGCCCUUACGAGUAGGGCUACACACGUGCUACAAUGGCAGAUACAAAGAGAAGCGACCUCGCGAGAGCAAGCGGAACUCAUAAAGUCUGUCGUAGUCCGGAUUGGAGUCUGCAACUCGACUCCAUGAAGUCGGAAUCGCUAGUAAUCGUAGAUCAGAAUGCUACGGUGAAUACGUUCCCGGGCCUUGUACACACCGCCCGU
Molecule: ribosomal RNA, 320 nt
Filed under: Proteus mirabilis
Lineage: Bacteria; Pseudomonadati; Pseudomonadota; Gammaproteobacteria; Enterobacterales; Morganellaceae
Description: bacterial SSU rRNA
Rfam family: Bacterial small subunit ribosomal RNA
Source: RNAcentral